Molecule: small RNA, 90 nt
Filed under: Xyrichtys novacula (pearly razorfish)
Lineage: Eukaryota; Metazoa; Chordata; Actinopteri; Labriformes; Labridae
Source: RNAcentral
UCACUGAUGGCCUGAAGAUUAACCCAACCUGAGCAUUUGACUUGGCUGCUGACCUUCAGUAAGUGCUACAUGUUGGGGCGGUUGUACAUG